Molecule: long non-coding RNA, 4838 nt
Filed under: Capsicum annuum
Lineage: Eukaryota; Viridiplantae; Streptophyta; Magnoliopsida; Solanales; Solanaceae
Description: long non-coding RNA (CANN_LNC002978)
Source: RNAcentral
UUGAAAAAUCAAUUUUAUCUAUUUUACUUCACCUUAUCAUACACCUACUCUAUUUAAUAACUUUUUCACAAAAAACAAAAAUAACUAAUUCUCAACAAAAUAACAACCUACCCAAUUAAAUAUUGACAACUUAUCCUGCACCCAGCCCCUACUCCACACACCCUCCCCUCCUCAUUUCCUUCACGUUUUUCUAUUUCCCAUAAUAGAAUACAACAAUACAGACAAGACUCACAAUACACUCCUCUAUUUUCACAAUACAUACACUUAUCUACACACACAAAAACAAAAACGGAGAGAAAUAGGAGGGUAGAGGGAGAAAAAUAGAGAAGUGAGUAGCGAAAACAGAGAAGAAAAAUUGAGAGAAAAGGGUGAGACGUGAGAGAGCCGGAGAGAAAAUCAGUAAAAGGGGAUUGGAAAAUUUAGAGAGAAUCGAGAGAGAGAGAGAGAGAGAAAUCAAGAGAGUGAGAAAGAGGAAUUAAACAGUGAGGAAUUAGAGGGGAAAGUGGAGAGAGGAAUGGGAGCAAAAUCAGUUUGCACUACUUUGAUAUUUCGGUGAAAUUUUGUUGGAAUCGCCGUUCCACCAUUAAAUCCGAUACACCUAUCUCGCUGGAAAAAUCAUAAAAACCAACGACCAAGCUUCUCGCUGGAAACCAAUCAGAAAACCAGCUCCAUUCCUCACCAGACUCGCAAAACCAACGAAUAACCAACCCCAUUUGAGUUGAUUUCAGUGAAGUCUCAACGAAAAAUAACCAUAAGUUUUGAAUUCUAUUGAUUCCAGCAGAUCAAACUACCAGAAACACUAUCUCCGUUUGAACUUCGGUCAUCUCUUGUCAUCGGGUUAAAGCCAUCCAGCAGCUCCACCACCAAAACCUACUAGAAAACAACCGGGUUUAGGCAAAACAGAGUUCUGGUCAAAGUUGUUAAGUUGGGAUUUGUAUUGGGGUUCAAAUCGAUGUUUUUAGGUGCGGAUUUUGUCUGUUCAUUUGAGUAAUAUUGGAUUUCGAAAGCUCCAAAUUGAGGUCCAACUCUACUUUUUCCCUCUCUUUAUUUCAUUAUCUAUGAUAUUUGGUGCAUUGGAUUGAACAUUGUUUGUUGGUUGAUCCUUAUUGGUGAUGAAUAGUUGCUUGUGUUGAUUUUCUUGAUUAUGGAUUGUGUGAUGAAAUGAUAUCUCUUUUGAGAACUAAACUCAUGUUAGUUGGGAAUGAAUUUUGGGGCGAAAAUUGUAAAUUGAUAAAAGUGAAUAUUGAUUUUGUUUUGAUUCAUUGAUGUUGUUGAAUGCGAUAGUACCAUAAUAAGCCAAAAUUGGUAAGCAAACGGUAGAUUGGGUAAGAAAAUUUAGGAAUUAUAGAUUAUUGAAUUUGUUGAAUGUUUUUUAAUUUAUCGCACAAAAUUGAAAUUGUAUUCAUUUGCAAGGGAAUGUCUUGAGAAAAAUUAUAUUUAUUCAUCUGAAAAUACCCCGAUGUAUUAUAUCUUCGAAGGAGAUUCUUGAUCAAGGUCUGAGACAUCGCGUAGAGCAUAGUUUAGGAUUAAUGUAAGUUAGUGUAGGUUUUCAUUUCAACAUUUUUUAUUCGAUUUGUAUUAAUUGGACUAGACACUGUUUUUUUUUUUUUAAAUUUUGGUGGUUUGAUUGUUUGUUUUCUUGUUUAUGUGUUUUGUUGGUUUAUACAUUUUCAUAGUGUCAUACUAGCCAAUAUAUUCUACGAAGAAAUCGUGGUCAAACCACGGGACUGAGGGAUGCCUAACACCUUCCCCUUGAUCAAUAGAAUUCUUUAAUCGGAAUAUUUGUUCGUGGAUCAAUUUUAAAGAGUCAAAAAAUCAUUUUGAAAAAGGAUUUUCAAAGGUGACUUGGCACACCAGAUUUAUGCCAAGUGGCGACUUUGAGUUUUAUUGUGAAAAAUUCUUUUCGAGGGUAACAGACAUUCAUCACCAUAUCUUAUAGUAUCCUUACAUGCUAAUUGUUGCAUCUUUGAGGGUAACAAGGUUAUUUAACUAGGGGUGGGCAUUCAGUUUGUUCAGUUUGCCUGUUUCAUAUUCAGUUUUUUGAUUUUUGAAUUGACGAAAAUGACAACCAUAACCAAACAAAAUUAAAUUCAGUUUGAUUCGGUUUCUACAAAUUCAGUUCGGUUAUUUCAAAUUAUUAUUUCGGUUUUGAAGAUUAAAUUAGCAAACCUUACUUUGUUAUGACUGGUUUUGAAAUGUUGUACAUCUAUGUCAAUUUUUCAUGAAAUACCAAGCAAAUACGUCGAUGAUUCAUGCAUGUUGGUGAUAUAGACAUCUCAAGCAACACAAGUAUUGCUUAUUAUAUAAGACUUAAGUGAAUAUGGAAAGGUGUUGUUGCUCCCAAUGUUAUCCAUCAAAUCACAAUACUAUGAGUCUCCGACUAUAAAUUCUAAUAAUUGUCGCAACAAUACCACAAGACAUGAAUUUAGGGACGUAAAUAGUAAGAUUAGGUUACUUAUUAUAUAUUUAUAUUGAAUAUAUAAAAUAUAUAUUAUUUAUAUAAUUUGGUUUUUCGGUUUAACCAAUUUUUUUUGAAAAAACGAAAAUCAAAUUGUUUAAUCAAAUUUCAAAAAUUUGAAAUCGAGAUCAAUCCAAAAAAUAAAAAAACUGAAACCAAAUUUAAAUUUUGAUUUUUUCGGUUUAAACCAAAAUAUGCCCAGUCCUACAUUUAACAGACUGAUUUGGGGGAAUGUGCUAGAAUUACAAAAAAACGUGUGUUUAGGCAAGAAAAAGUUCAAGAGAAAAAGAAAAAAAGAAAAAAAUUGUAAUGUUUAGGAUAUUUUAUGCUUUUGUUUUUCACACUCAAAAAUGCAAAAAGAUUUUUUACCUUUUGCACUUCGUUUUCUGAAAAAAAAAAAAAAGAUCAAAAAGAUUUCCCCUUUGUUUCCUUUAGCAAGCAUUCAUAAUUCAAAAAUUUAAUUUUUUUUUAAUAGGAGAUUUUUAUAAAAGAAAAAGAGAAAAUACCCAAUUACCCCCCUGAACUAUACCCAAGAAGGCUAUACCACACCUCGACUUAAAAGGGAUCCUAUUACACCCCUGAACUAAUUAAGUGUAAUUUUGACACCCUUAGUGCCUAUGUGGCACAUAGGUGGCACACACGUGUGCCUACGUGGACACUUCAGUGUGUUGUGCCACGUAUGUGCCACGUAGACAUUAAGGGUGUCAAAAUUAUACUUUUAAUUAGUUCAGGGGUAAUAAGACCUCCUUUAAGUUGAGGUGUGUCAUAACCUUUUUGAGUAUAGUUCAGGGGGGUAAUUGGGUAUUAUCUCAAAGAAAAAUUCAAAAAGAUGGUAGAAGUUUUGUACAUUUCAUAUAACUAAAAUGCCAAAAAGAUUUUUCUUUAAGUGUUGUCAUGUUUUUCUUCGUUGAAAAUUUCAAACAAAACAAGUUGUGGUGGUGCUUUAUUUUGAACAAUACCAAAACCUACUAGAAAACAACCGGGUUUAGGCAAAACAGAGUUCUGGUCAAAGUUGUUAAGUUGGGAUUUGUAUUGGGGUUCAAAUCGAUGUUUUUAGGUGCGGAUUUUGUCUGUUCAUUUGAGUAAUAUUGGAUUUCGAAAGCUCCAAAUUGAGGUCCAACUCUACUUUUUCCCUCUCUUUAUUUCAUUAUCUAUGAUAUUUGGUGCAUUGGAUUGAACAUUGUUUGUUGGUUGAUCCUUAUUGGUGAUGAAUAGUUGCUUGUGUUGAUUUUCUUGAUUAUGGAUUGUGUGAUGAAAUGAUAUCUCUUUUGAGAACUAAACUCAUGUUAGUUGGGAAUGAAUUUUGGGGCGAAAAUUGUAAAUUGAUAAAAGUGAAUAUUGAUUUUGUUUUGAUUCAUUGAUGUUGUUGAAUGCGAUAGUACCAUAAUAAGCCAAAAUUGGUAAGCAAACGGUAGAUUGGGUAAGAAAAUUUAGGAAUUAUAGAUUAUUGAAUUUGUUGAAUGUUUUUUAAUUUAUCGCACAAAAUUGAAAUUGUAUUCAUUUGCAAGGGAAUGUCUUGAGAAAAAUUAUAUUUAUUCAUCUGAAAAUACCCCGAUGUAUUAUAUCUUCGAAGGAGAUUCUUGAUCAAGGUCUGAGACAUCGCGUAGAGCAUAGUUUAGGAUUAAUGUAAGUUAGUGUAGGUUUUCAUUUCAACAUUUUUUAUUCGAUUUGUAUUAAUUGGACUAGACACUGUUUUUUUUUUUUUAAAUUUUGGUGGUUUGAUUGUUUGUUUUCUUGUUUAUGUGUUUUGUUGGUUUAUACAUUUUCAUAGUGUCAUACUAGCCAAUAUAUUCUACGAAGAAAUCGUGGUCAAACCACGGGACUGAGGGAUGCCUAACACCUUCCCCUUGAUCAAUAGAAUUCUUUAAUCGGAAUAUUUGUUCGUGGAUCAAUUUUAAAGAGUCAAAAAAUCAUUUUGAAAAAGGAUUUUCAAAGGUGACUUGGCACACCAGAUUUAUGCCAAGUGGCGACUUUGAGUUUUAUUGUGAAAAAUUCUUUUCGAGGGUAACAGACAUUCAUCACCAUAUCUUAUAGUAUCCUUACAUGCUAAUUGUUGCAUCUUUGAGGGUAACAAGGUUAUUUAACUAGGGGUGGGCAUUCAGUUUGUUCAGUUUGCCUGUUUCAUAUUCAGUUUUUUGAUUUUUGAAUUGACGAAAAUGACAACCAUAACCAAACAAAAUUAAAUUCAGUUUGAUUCGGUUUCUACAAAUUCAGUUCGGUUAUUUCAAAUUAUUAUUUCGGUUUUGAAGAUUAAAUUAGCAAACCUUACUUUGUUAUGACUGGUUUUGAAAUGUUGUACAUCUAUGUCAAUUUUUCAUGAAAUACCAAGCAAAUACGUCGAUGAUUCAUGCAUGUUGGUGAUAUAGACAUCUCAAGCAAC